Molecule: ribosomal RNA, 292 nt
Filed under: uncultured bacterium
Lineage: Bacteria
Description: partial 16S ribosomal RNA
Rfam family: Bacterial small subunit ribosomal RNA
Source: RNAcentral
GUGUCAGCAGCCGCGGUAAUACGGAGGGUGCAAGCGUUGUUCGGAUUGAUUGGGCGUAAAGCGCACGUAGGCGGGUUUAUAAGUCGAAUGUGAAAGCCCUGGGCUUAACCUAGGAAUUGCAUCCGAAACUGUAAAUCUUGAAUACUCGAGGGGUUGGUGGAAUUCUUGGUGUAGGAGUGAAAUCCGUAGAUAUCAAGAGGAAUAUCGGAGGCGAAGGCGGCCAACUGGCGAUGUAUUGACGCUGAGGUGCGAAAGCGUGGGGAGCAAACAGGAUUAGAUACCCCAGUAGUCC